AACGGUGGUUAGAGCAUGGGUGUUCACCUUUUCCCAUUCCGAACAGAGCAGUUAAGCCCCAUUGCGCCGAUGGUACUACAAUCAAAUGUGGAAGAGUAGGUCGCUGCCGAUC
This is a ribosomal RNA of Microscilla marina ATCC 23134, 112 nucleotides long. Lineage: Bacteria; Pseudomonadati; Bacteroidota; Cytophagia; Cytophagales; Microscillaceae. The record is from Rfam.